Molecule: ribosomal RNA, 326 nt
Filed under: uncultured eukaryote
Lineage: Eukaryota
Description: partial 18S ribosomal RNA
Rfam family: Eukaryotic small subunit ribosomal RNA
Source: RNAcentral
CCCUUAAAUGUUCUGGGCCGCACGCGCGCUACACUGAUGCAUUCAACAAGCCUAGCCUUGACCGAGAGGUCCGGGUAAUCUUUGAAACUGCAUCGUGAUGGGGCUAGAUUAUUGCAAUUAUUAAUCUUCAACGAGGAAUGCCUAGUAAGCGUGAUUCAUCAAAUCGCGUUGAUUACGUCCCUGCCCUUUGUACACACCGCCCGUCGCUCCUACCGAUUGAAUGUGUUGGUGAGGAGCUCGGAUUGGCAGCAGUUGGUGGUUCGCCACCGGCUAUUGCUGAGAAGUCCUCCAAACCGCCCCAUUUAGAGGAAGGAGAAGUCGUAACA